UCCUCGUUAGCUCAGUUGGUUAGAGCACCUGACUGUUAAUCAGGGGGUCCUAGGUUCAAGUCCUAGACGGGGAGCAA
Molecule: transfer RNA, 77 nt
Filed under: Bacteroidia bacterium
Lineage: Bacteria; Pseudomonadati; Bacteroidota; Bacteroidia
Description: tRNA-Asn
Rfam family: tRNA
About the family: Transfer RNA (tRNA) molecules are approximately 80 nucleotides in length. Their secondary structure includes four short double-helical elements and three loops (D, anti-codon, and T loops).
Source: RNAcentral